GGCAAAAUGUAUACAGACUACAAGAAGAAGACCUCCAGAGGACUGCAGCAACAAUAAGGGAGUGAUCCAGGAAGAAGACCUCCAGAGGACUGCAGCAAAAAUAAGGGAAGUAAUACUGUUUUCUCUUCAAAUGUUCACGCGAUGAUUUUGAACUAAUUCGUGUCUCACUCUCCACUGAAGAGACAACAACUCUCAGACUCAGGAUGAAGACCUCCAGGAAGAAGGCCUCCUGUGCUUGUUUUUUGGAGAGAAAUAAAUGUCAUCUCUGUUACAAGA
Molecule: long non-coding RNA, 276 nt
Organism: Acanthopagrus latus (yellowfin seabream)
Lineage: Eukaryota; Metazoa; Chordata; Actinopteri; Spariformes; Sparidae
Exons: 2
Source: RefSeq, a predicted model, not a curated record